This 491-nucleotide ribosomal RNA is filed under the name uncultured bacterium. Its description in RNAcentral is "partial 16S ribosomal RNA". It matches the Rfam family "Bacterial small subunit ribosomal RNA", at positions 29 to 506 of the family's 1533-position model. The record is from RNAcentral.
AGUGAACGCUGGCGGUAGGCCUAACACAUGCAAGUCGAACGGCAGCACAGUAAGAGCUUGCUCUUACGGGUGGCGAGUGGCGGACGGGUGAGGAAUACAUCGGAAUCUACUUUUUCGUGGGGGAUAACGUAGGGAAACUUACGCUAAUACCGCAUACGACCUACGGGUGAAAGCAGGGGAUCUUCGGACCUUGCGCGAUUGAAUGAGCCGAUGUCGGAUUAGCUAGUUGGCGGGGUAAAGGCCCACCAAGGCGUCGAUCCGUAGCUGGUCUGAGAGGAUGAUCAGCCACACGGGAACUGAGACACGGUCCAGACUCCUACGGGAGGCAGCGGUGGGGAUUAUUGGACAAUGGGCGCAAGCCUGAUCCAGCCAUACCGCGGGGGUGAAGAAGGCCUUCGGGUUGUAAAGCCCUUUUGUUGGGAAAGAAAAGCAGCAGGUUAAAACCCCGCUGUUCUGACGGUACCCAAAGAAUAAGCACCGGCUAACUUCGU